UCCUUCUCAAACAGCGGCUUCUGGAGUGGUAUGGACCCUGAGAACCUCAGUCGGAGGUCUCAUUUCCGUCGUAUAAAACCCCGCUCUGUCUCUCUCUCUCUCUCCCCCCACAGUCUCAAACCCCUCAACUGGUAUGAACGACUCUCGCUUUCCGUUCACUUCAUCUGGCUUCCAUAUAUUCUUAAUUGCCUCUGCUCAUGCAAAUUCUUAUGGGGUCUUUGUAUCCUCCGUGAAUGCCAUUGGAGCCUGCAGGUAAUUUGUGCUGAUUAGUAAUUGGAUGAAAAGAAUUCUAGGGCCCGAAGGGAGAGUUAUGGCAGAAGGCACAGAAGUUGAAGAGCGAUUGGAUUUUGAUGAGGAUAAUUCCAUGGAAGAGAUGGACGAUGAUAUUGAAGAACAGAUUGACGAUAAUGUUGAAGCACAGAUAGACGAUGAUGUUGAAGCAGAACAAAAGGACUCUAUAACCGAGAUCAGUGGGAAAGAUCAAGAAGCAGAUAGAAGUCACAUUGCCUCUGAAUUCGUGGAAGAUGAGGAAAAGCCAGCUUCUUCUGUUGAUGAGGAUGAGAAGGAGAAGCAUGCUGAGCUACUUGCCCUUCCUCCCCAUGGUUCUGAAGUUUUCAUUGGUGGACUUCCUCGAGAUGCCAUCGAAGAAGAUUUGAGGCAUCUCUGUGAGCCAAUUGGUGAAGUUGUUGAGGUAAGAUUAAUAAAAGAUAAGGAAACUGGCGAUGCCAAGGGUUAUGCUUUUAUAGCUUUUAAAACAAAAGAGAUUGCACAAAAGGCCAUUGAAGAGAUCCAUAACAAAGAAUUCAAGGGUAAAAAAUUAAGGUGUUCACUGUCUGAAACUAAGCACAGAUUAUUCCUUGGUAAUGUUCCAAAGAGCUGGACCCAGGAUGAGUUUAGAAAAGUCAUUGAGGGGGUUGGCCCUGGAGUUGAGAGCAUUGAGCUUAUAAAGGAUCCUCAGAAUCCAAGCAGAAAUCGCGGUUUCGCUUUUGUUUUAUAUUACAAUAAUUCUUGUGCCAAUUAUUCGAGGCAGAAUAUGUCAAAUGCGAAUUUCAAGUUGGAUGGCAACACCCCAACUGUCACCUGGGCUGAUCCAAAGAGUGGACCUGAUCAUUCUGCUGCUUCUCAGGUUAAGGCUCUUUAUGUCAAAAACAUUCCCGAGAACACUAGUACUGAAAAACUGAAGGAGCUAUUUCAGCAGCAUGGGGAACUUACAAAAGUGGUUAUGCCACCUGGAAAAGCUGGUGGCAAACGGGAUUUUGGGUUCAUCCAUUAUGCUGAAAGGUCAAGUGCAUUGAAGGCUGUUAAAGAUGCAGAGAAAUAUGAAAUUGAUGGCCAAGUAUUGGAUGUUGCACUUGCUAAACCUCAAUCUGAUAAAAAGUCAGAUGCUACUCAUCCCUAUAAUGUCAUGCCUCAUCCAAACCAUCUUUCACAUUCUGGGUAUGGUGGUUUUGCCAGUAAUCAAUAUGCCUCUCUAGGGGCUGGGUAUGGUGUUGGCACUGGUUUUCAGCAGCCAGUGAUAUAUGGUAGGGGUCCCACGCCAGCAGGAAUGCAUAUGGUUCCGAUGGUUUUACCAGAUGGCCGAAUUGGUUUUGUUCUUCAGCAGCCUGCCGCACAGAUACCACCUCCCCGGCCUCGUAGAAUUGAUCGAAGCAAUGCUCCAAGUCCAAGCAGACCACCCGCUCGACCACAAGGUAGUGGCAAUGAUGAAGGCAAUCGUGGCAGAAGGUACCGACCCUAUUAGUGAGCUCUUUCCCACGGCUUCUGCUUCAUAGCAUCUAUCCUUGGCAGUAAUUUCCCGCAUCCCACAGCUCCUGCUUCAGAGCUUCUCUCCAGAUUUGAUCCCAGCAACAGGGAUUCUAUUAGUUACUCCUUAAAGCGAUCAUUGUUGCUCAAUCCCUAAUGAAUGCAAUUACAAAUUUUUGCCAAGGCUUUUGCUUCUCUAGGAGGAUUUGGGAAUUAAAACUAUAAAGGCAUUAGAGAUGUUCUUGUUUCAGUUUUUCAUGGGAUAGUAGCGUUUUCCUGAUGUAGAGGACAGCAUAUAUGAAGUAGUUAGAUGGUGCCACAUAGAUGAAGCACAGCAAUGAUAUUUAUUAUUAAAAAUAAAUAAAUAAUAGUAUUGUAUUAUUGUAGAGAGUGCAAUUACGGAGUUCAGAUUUUGAGUGAUUAGCCCAUAGUCAAAAAUUGACAUAUUAGCCGAACUUAACUUUUUAGAAUAGCUAAUCCAAUGGCAAUGUUUGGCACAUAUAAGGGUACUUGGCUAUGUUUAGUUAGUAAGGUAAUCUGUAAUCAUCUCAAAUGAACUCAUUACUAUUCAUUAUUAUUUACAAAUGAUUUAUUAUAUUUUAUUAUUUUUUUAAUAUUAUUUACAUAUCAUCUAAAAUCAGUUCAAAAUCCAAUCGUAAUCUAAUGAGCGCUUAUGCAUACUUAAAAGUUCUGACAUGGUUGCUGCUUGUUCCAUUUCUAGCUUGUCGUGAUCAUUGAUUCCGGUUUUUCCUCCCUAGUGUUUAGAAACUACUUAGCAUUUUCUAUAUUUUUAAUACCACUGGUUGGGAAAUUUCCCAGCCUUUUGAUACACCUUUUUAAGUUGCCAAAAAUGUGUGCUGUGCUCAUUCAACGUUUGUUAUUUAUUUAUUAUUAAUCGCAAAAUAGUACUACGAUUUUAAUAAUUUUACGUAUUGAAGCGUAAGUUUUCAGUUUUUUACCAAAUUAGUACUUCAACUUUAAAAUCUCAGACUUGGGUGCUUUUGUCAAUCUUUCGUUAGAUAAUUAACAAGAUAUUGUCACGUUACGUGUCAAUCUUUGAUUGACUGACUUGCCAUAUUAAGUCACCUAAUUACAAUGUAGAUUAAAAUUCAUAGAUCAGUUUUAUAAAAGUUGAAAACCUAAGCAUAGAUUUGUAAGCAUUCCAAGUGCUUCCUCUCAAAUUCCUUAUGCUUAACAACGAUUUUGGUUCAUCAUCCUCACACAUGUUCUUAGCUUGGGUUUUACCAUUGAGGACGAUAUCAUUUCAUCCUAUACAAGCUAUACAGAAGGAAAAAAUCUUAUUAUUAUUGAGAUAACAUCAAGGAAUCCAAAUCACACAAGCCAAUCUAAGACGCAUAUUGCACACAUAAGUUACAGAGCAAAACAUUUCUUUUUCUUUUUUUAACAAGUAAAGAAAUUUAUCAGUAGCAAGUCUUGAACAGAAAACAUUUGCCCAUCUUUACCUGCCGGUGAAACAUCAGACUUAAGAGAAAGACAAAGAUAAGCCUAUCGAACAAACUUAGACACAACAGAAAGAAAGAGGAUAAAUGCUUUAAUGACAGAUUUUACCGAAAUAUACUCAUAAGUUAAUAAGAUGGACGUGAUAAGUUAAAUUGUAAAAUUAUUUUUCUUAUAAAGUAAAUUUAACGAAUGUAAAACAGCAUCAUAGAUGAUAACUAAACUUUAUUUUUCUGGAAUCUCUUCGGUCAUCCUUAAGAAAGAAAGGUGAUAUAAGUUAUGAACAGCCCACUAAUUCACUAACAUAGGUGCACCAAAUGCGUCAGCAGCCUGCCAGCAUGUUAGAUUGCGGAUGAACUUUU
This is an RNA transcript of Carya illinoinensis, 3563 nucleotides long. It is a transcript of the gene named heterogeneous nuclear ribonucleoprotein Q-like, with no coding region annotated. Lineage: Eukaryota; Viridiplantae; Streptophyta; Magnoliopsida; Fagales; Juglandaceae. The record is from RefSeq and is a predicted model, not a curated record. The transcript is spliced from 10 exons.